GACGAACGCUGGCGGCGUGCUUAACACAUGCAAGUCGAACGGAAAGGCCCUGCUUUUGUGGGGUGCUCGAGUGGCGAACGGGUGAGUAACACGUGAGUAACCUGCCCUUGACUUUGGGAUAACUUCAGGAAACUGGGGCUAAUACCGGAUAGGAGCUCCUGCUGCAUGGUGGGGGUUGGAAAGUUUCGGCGGUUGGGGAUGGACUCGCGGCAUAUCAGCUUGUUGGUGGGGUAGUGGCUUACCAAGGCAUUGACGGGUAGCCGGCCUGAGAGGGUGACCGGCCACAGUGGGGCUGAGAUACCGCCCAGACUCCUGCGGGAGGCAACCGUGGGGAAUAUCGCACCAUGGGGGGCGGCCUGAUGCAGCAACGCUGCGUGCGGGAUGACUGCCUUCGGGUUGUAAACCGCUUUCGGCUGAGACGAAGCGUGCGUGACGGUAAUUGGUCAAGAUGAACCGGCUAACUGCCUG
Molecule: ribosomal RNA, 468 nt
Filed under: uncultured bacterium
Lineage: Bacteria
Description: partial 16S ribosomal RNA
Rfam family: Bacterial small subunit ribosomal RNA
Source: RNAcentral